RNAcentral lists this unclassified non-coding RNA (2457 nucleotides) under Hevea brasiliensis (rubber tree). The record is from RNAcentral. Lineage: Eukaryota; Viridiplantae; Streptophyta; Magnoliopsida; Malpighiales; Euphorbiaceae.
UAAAACCAAAAAAAAAAAAAAAAAUCAAACCUAACCUGUUGUCGACUGCUUUACUUGCUCUUCUUCCUCAAAUCCAAAACAAAAUUUCCUAAUUCUUUAACUCCAAUGAAUCCGAAAUUAGUAGUGAUGGCGUUUUCAUUUUUUCUGCUACUCUCUCUCUGCUACUCCGCCGAGUUCAGAUGCAACAGCGGCUGCAAUUUGUAUUGGGCAUGGUGCUUCAUCCUGCAAGGAACCAACCCAAGCUUCAUAGCCGAUGUUGAGAACACCUCAGAGUCGCUCGACGCAAUUCACCGUUUCAUUAGAGAUCAAUUCCCAAACAACGACGGUUACCACGGAUUCGCCAUAAGCAGAAGCCCCUUCCCCUGUAAUUGCAGCAGCGAUGGAUUCGUCGGCUACGUUUUACAAUACAGCGUGCUAUCCAACGACACCUACGACGUCAUCGCCGAGGAGUACUACUCAAACCUGACCACGGUUUUCUGGUUAGAGCGGUUCAAUAGCUAUACGGCUGCGGAUAGUAAUCUUAUAACUCCUGCGAUUAAUGUUACUGUGAAUUGCUCGUGUGGGGACAGGGUCAUUUCCAAGGAUUAUGGGUUGUUCAUCACGUAUCCUCUUAGGCCCGAGGAUAAUUUGGUGUCAAUUGCAAGUCGGUUCAAUGUUACUGCUGAGGAGCUGCAGAGAUAUAACGUUGGUGCCAAUUUUAGUGGAGGAAGUAGUUUGCUGUAUAUUCCAGGCAGAGCGUCUGAUAUUGUGCUUGGGGGAAUUCUUAACAAACUCAGGCGAUCGCGGUUCCAAGACGAAAAUAAUAGCUACCGGCCCUUAAAAUCAAGAACUUCAAUGCCCAGACUUAUUGCUGGUAUAUCCGUAGCAGCAGCAGUUGUUGUAUUAGCAAUUUGUGUAUACUUUGGAUUUUACCGAAGGAAGAAAGUGAAGAAAGAGAUAAUGUUGCUGACUUCAACAUCUCAAGAUCUCUCUGCUCAACCUGUGCACGAAAGCAGCAAUCAAGAAGAUGGACAGGAAAACUUCAAAAGAAUUUCUAACUGAACUAAAGAUUUUAACACAUGUUCAUCACGAAAAUGUGGUACACUCUUUCUCUAUCAGCUAUAGAAAUAUCAUUCAUGAGUACAUGGAUGAGUUAUUGCCGUAAUUUUUUCUUCACUUAAACAAGUGCAUCAUCAACAUUUUAUUUUAGCUUAUUUUUUCAGAAUAAAUAAUUGUUACCAUUACUUGGAAAGUUCAUAAUUACUUGUUAUGUCAAUCUUAUAAAUGCAGUAGAAUAUAUGUUUCAUUUUGCUAAGUAAAAUAAAAUAAUUAAAGUGGUCCAAGUUUGAGAUUCCAGUCUCUAUUGACCUUGGCAAAAUUAUGUCAUUGGCUUGCAUGACCAAGGAGUGGGAACAAUCUAAAUUCACCUGCUUGGCAAUUUCGAUAGAGUAUUACGCCUCAUAUCUUCUUUACAUCAGUUUUGAUAUGAGAAGUUGAAUGCACCACUUACUCAAACCUAUACAUGUUCUUUGCUUUUGGUGGCAGAAUCUAAAACAAUUUAUGUAUUUGUUUGUGACGACUGCAGGGAUCAGUUCACGAGAUGUUGACGUCAAACAAAAAUAGAAAUAUUUACAAUUUGAGGCACCACUGAAUUUUCAUUUUUUGGUUAUAAAAUGUUUAUUCCCUAGGAAUAAGCAACUUUUUGGGAAGUCAUUUCCAUGGAAAUUGUAUAUUAAAGAAUUUCAUUCACACAUUUCUGUUUUCUCCUCAACAAUUAUUUUCAUGUUUAGUUCACUCACUAAUUUCUUAGGAAAUAUGAUGUACCAUUAACUUAUCAACAUAAAUUUAUUUUAGGAAAGUAUUUUAUGAAAUGUCUUCCUAGCUACUUCCGAGGGAAGUGCAACUUACUGACCCCCUCCGCUUGUAAGUUGGUUCCUAGAUUCAAGGGAGUUGAGUGGUGACUUUACACUUUCAUAGCAACUAAACAUGAUGUAGGCGCCUUCUAGUACGCUGCACUUACUGUGAAACAAAUGAGCUGUAGAAACAUACUUCCUGUUGUAUCCAGAAAAUAUCAUGAACCUUUAGAAGAUCAAAGCUCUGCCAUAUACUUUGUAUUUAUUACCAGAAGGUAUGUUGACAGUGAUUCAUGACCUCUAAUAUUUUUCAUUAUUAGAGGUCACAAACCUGCUAGUAAGAUUUGAAGUCAGUUGCCUAUUUCUUUAUGGUUGUGAGUUGUGACAAUAGCUCAUAGCUGUACAAGUUGAUGCGCGCAAUAGUUCUGUGUAAUUCUGUGGAGUCCAAUUGUGUGGAUGAUUUUGUACGAUUUUGGGGUUUUUUCUUUGCCUUCUUUUUACCAUAUGACACUAUCUAUGUUUAUUGCAGGUCCAAUUGAUUGGAUAUUGUGUAAACUCUCUUGGUUCUUCUCUUUUUCUAGUUUACGAAUACAUGGAGAACGGCAACUUAAGCCAACAUUUGCAU